GAUAUACAUAGCAUUUUAAUUUUGCAUGCUUCACAGGAUGUCACGCUUUCUAAAGGUGAAGCUGCAGAGCUGGCAGAAGGUCAACCAAUCAGCCAGUGUGCUCCCAGACUGCAAAGAGCCAUUGUGCUGACCUGUGAGUCCACGGUGAAACACCUGAAGAAUAGAUUUAGCAGCCUACUUGAAGAGAACACAAAGGAUGCACCAACAGCCAAGGCAGUGAAGUGUUUCAAUGUCUUCAGCCAUGACUCUUGGGCAGAUAAUAGGCUGGAGCUCCUGAACCAUGGUGUGGAAGAGGUGAACUUUCUCCUACGACACUUCUCCACUGUCCUGGACAGGAAUGGCUGCAGCAAAGAAAAGGCCAAAGAGGAGUUCCAACUGAUGAAAAUGACGAUAAACACGUCAUUCAAGGACAAAAGCUAUCUUGGACUGUGGCAAGUCAUGACGACAAAAGAGCCCUACUGCUCAGACUUUGCGAAUAUCCUACACCUGGUCAAAAUCAUGCUGGUGCUCCCAAUCUCUUCAGCAGUCUGUGAAAGAGGCUUCUCAUCAGUAAACAGAAUCAAGUCAGAUGUUAGAUCAAGCCUGCAUACUGAAACUGUUGAGGACCUAAUCCGUAUUAGUGUUGAGGGGCCACAAUUGGAGGACUAUGAUGCCAGGCAGGAUGUUAAGCAAUGGUUCUCCCAGGGUAAGAGGAGCAGGAGGCCUAACUAUAUGAGCUGGUCCCUAGAAUGAGAUGAAUUGCAGGGAAGAAAUUAAUGCUGCUUAGUUCAAGUUCAGUUUGAAUUAAUGAGCUUUAAGUUUAUAAGUUAUUUAUUACGUAGUUUUUAAGUUACCAGUAAGUUCGAUGUUCAGAAUGUUAUGUUCAAUAUACGUUUAAUAACGUGGAACAGUAUUUUUGUACUGCGGCUCAUGCAGAGAAACUUGAAUUCAGAUUAAAAUAUUUUGCAAAUAUCAAGUUUGGGUCAUUGUCAAUCUUUAACUUUCAUCAACAUAACAUAUUAAUAACACGCUAUACAAAGAAAAAUAUGGUGCUACCUAAUUUGUUUUGGUGCUACUAAAUGAAAAGCUAGGUGGCACCAGUGUUACCUGUGAAAAAGUUAGUCUGGAGCCCUGCACCAGCGCCAACAGCAGUUCCAGCACCAGCAACAGAAGACCCAUCACCAGCUCCAGGUCCAUCAUCAGCAUCAGCAACAGAGGCCCUGGGCCACUCUGUAAGAAUCUGUUUGACUUUAUUUGUAUAGGUUAAGUUACAUUUGCAGUAGUUUCAGUUGCACUGUUUUUCUAAAUGCAUCAGCCGUACACUCGGUUAAUCUAAAUGCACAUAUAUAUCAUUGAGGUAAGACGCUAGUCUGCUGUAUGUUGAAGUAGAUUUGUGGUAAUGUUAUCUACUUGCAUUAAAGGUCAUUCCAAAAGGACUUGUGGAGCACUGCUCCUUCCAAAGCCCCCAGAAGUUCAUAAAUGAUCUCCUACAUGGGAUGUAUACCAGGGAAUAUAUGGCAGGCCAGUCAUCCAGCAGCUGCACAGAAGGAAAACCUGGCCUAGCCAAACAGGACCUUGUAGAAAUAACAAGUAGGUAUAUAGAAAUGAGAAAAGAUGUUGGUUGAGUGAUACCCUCAUUCUCAUGCUCAUCUUUCGUGUAUGUGUUUGUGUGUGUGUGUGUGUGUAUUCCCACAGAUGCUGCAAAGUUGAAGUUCACCUACGUAACUGAUACGAACAUAAAAGCAUUUAAACGACAAAAGCUGAACAAUGCUGCCAAAUUUCAUGAACAAUAAAUGAUCAACUGUUUAAAGAAAGUUAAACUUUUGUUCUAUUUUUUUUUGCAUUUUAGCAGUCUAGAAGAAAACACUGUGUUAAUGGUGGUUGUAAGCCUAAUUUAUGUGCAGUGAAUUAUUGUUACAG
This 1899-nucleotide long non-coding RNA is filed under the name Gadus morhua (Atlantic cod). RNAcentral describes it as "lncRNA (ENSGMOG00000025030.1)". The record is from RNAcentral. Lineage: Eukaryota; Metazoa; Chordata; Actinopteri; Gadiformes; Gadidae.